Molecule: long non-coding RNA, 1197 nt
Organism: Salvelinus namaycush (lake trout)
Lineage: Eukaryota; Metazoa; Chordata; Actinopteri; Salmoniformes; Salmonidae
Exons: 2
Source: RefSeq, a predicted model, not a curated record
CUGAGUGUAGCUACAACUGCCACAAUUGAGGACCCAACACCCCUGACUCUGCUCAUUUGUGGGCAUCCUCAGUCAGAACUUUCCAAAGAGACCCUGCAGACCUCACACAAUCAACAAUGUGGAAGAGGGCACUAGUAUCAGGGGCCAGUAUGACAAUGCGCAAUGUUACACGACCGUUGUCUCAGCCACCCCUUGUCAUAGGAACCCAGUGCCUUUGCUUGGGAAGGACACCAUGAUGAUGUCAUUAACAAUGGCCGCUGGGGUGUGCUGAGAUUUGUGAGGUUGUACUGGGAUAUAUCUCUCACAGCCACUCGCCACCAGAGAUUCUUGAGCUACCCAUCUGGUCAGAGGAGACAUAGGAAAGGAUGACCAGUGGAAUUCGACACUGCCUUUUUGUCGCAGACCACAAGGAGGACUGAGAAACAAAAAUUACAAUGACAACAAUGUAAUGAAUGUUUUUGGAAACUUUCUUAUUUCUUCUUCCUCUUAGAGUUCUGCUUGAUGUGUUCAUCAGUGCACAUCUGUAGUUGUCUCCGAAGGAAAAACUGGAAACUUGUCAUAUAGUUCCCCUCAUAAUGAAACACAGUAUCCACUAGCUUACAUCUCCACCGCAUGACAUAAACCAGUGCAUGUUUUCUAUUCUCAGUGGUUUGGGCAUUUUUUUUGAGAGGUUUUGAAAAAGUUUGUUGGCCAAUGGAAAGAUGGUGCAGUGAGUUGGAAAGUGGAAGAGGAGAAAUUUAUGUGUAGGUCAGCAGGGCUACUGUUACAACCUUUCAGUGUAGCUCAGCAGAGCUACUGUUACAACCUUUCAGUGUAGCUCAGCAGAGCUACUGUUACAACCUUUCAGUGUAGCUCAGCAGGGCUACUGUUACAACCUUUCAGUGUAGCUCAGCAGGGCUACUGUUACAACCUUUCAGUGUGGGUACGGUCACCUUUCAGUGUGGGUACGGUCACCUUUCAGUUAUAGAAAUGGCAAGGUGCUUGUUGUGUAAUGUGCAUCUAUCCUUAGUGUCACUUCUUCUCACUGAUUUGGAAUGGAAUGUUGCAGUGUAGGUGUCAGGCAAAGAGGAAGGAUCCAGGAAAGGAAUGACUGCAUGACACACACACACACACUUGUGUCACCCACUUCUCUGUAUCGGUCAAUGGAGCUAACGAGGUGGCAUUUUAGAUCUGAAAUAAAUGGUUUAUGAUUUUGUC